RNAcentral lists this ribosomal RNA (594 nucleotides) under Tricholoma bakamatsutake. RNAcentral describes it as "eukaryotic LSU rRNA". The stretch from base 186 to 339 matches the Rfam family "5.8S ribosomal RNA". The record is from RNAcentral. Lineage: Eukaryota; Fungi; Basidiomycota; Agaricomycetes; Agaricales; Tricholomataceae.
UUGGGUUGUAGUUACCCGACGCAAACUUUUUCAUCACCUGUGCACUGUUUGUAGACUUGGGUAAGGAAAGCUUGGUUUUGCAUAAUCUGGUUUUCCUUACAUUUUCUGGUCUACGUAUUUUUAUUACACGCUCAGUCUGUCUUGGAAUGUUAUUUAGCGGGCUUCAUUGCCUUUAAAUCUUGUACAACUUUCAACAACGGAUCUCUUGGCUCUCGCAUCGAUGAAGAACGCAGCGAAAUGCGAUAAGUAAUGUGAAUUGCAGAAUUCAGUGAAUCAUCGAAUCUUUGAACGCACCUUGCGCUCCUUGGUAUUCCGAGGAGCAUGCCUGUUUGAGUGUCAUGAAAUUCUCAACCUUUUCAGCUUUUGUUGAUUAGGCUUGGACUUUGGGAGUUUUUGCAGGCUUCUCAGUGGUCUGCUCUUCUUAAAUAUAUCAAUGCCGGGGCCUCCUGUUGUCUAGCAUAUGGUGUGAUAGUUAUCUACGCCAUUACGAACAAAUGUAAUAAGGAGGCUCAGCUUCUAAUUGUCUUUUAAGAGGCAAUCUCUGACAUUUUUGACCUCAAAUCAGGUAGGACUACCCGCUGAACUUAAGCAUAU